RNAcentral lists this ribosomal RNA (492 nucleotides) under uncultured bacterium. RNAcentral's name for it is "partial 16S ribosomal RNA". It matches the Rfam family "Bacterial small subunit ribosomal RNA", at positions 29 to 507 of the family's 1533-position model. The record is from RNAcentral.
AGUGAACGCUGGCGGUAGGCCUAACACAUGCAAGUCGAUCGGCAGCACAGUAAGAGCUUGCUCUUACGGGUGGCGAGUGGCGGACGGGUGAGGAAUACAUCGGAAUCUACUUUUUCGUGGGGGAUAACGUAGGGAAACUUACGCUAAUACCGCAUACGACCUACGGGUGAAAGCAGGGGAUCUUCGGACCUUGCGCGAUUGAAUGAGCCGAUGUCGGAGUAGCUAGUGGGCGGGGUAAAGGCCCACCAAGGCGACGAUCCGUAGCUGGUCUGAGAGGAUGGUCAGCCACACUGGAACUGAGACACGGUCCAGACUCCUACGGGAGGCAGCAGUCGGGAAUGUUGGACAAUGGGCGCAAGCCUGAUCCAGCCAUACCGCGUCGGUGAAGAAGGCCUUCGGGUUGUAAAGCCCUUUUGUUGGGAAAGAAAAGCAUCAGGUUAAUACCCCGCUGUUCUGACGGUACCCAAAGAAUAAGCACCGGCUAACUUCGUG